GAUGAAGAACGCAGCAAAAUGCGAUAAGUAUGUGAAUUGCAGAAUUCAGUGAAUCAUCGAAUCUUUGAACGCACAUUGCGCCCGCUGGUAUUCCGGCGGGCAUGCCUGUUCGAGCGUCAUUUCAACCCUCAAGCCCCCGGGUUUGGUGUUGGGGAUCGGCUCUGCCCUUCUGGGCGGUGCCGCCCCCGAAAUACAUUGGCGGUCUCGCUGCAGCCUCCAUUGCGUAGUAGCUAACACCUCGCAACUGGAACGCGGCGCGGCCAUGCCGUAAAACCCCAACUUCUGAAUGUUGACCUCGGAUCAGGUAGGAAUACCCGCUGAACUUAAGCAUAUCAAUAAGCGGAGGA
This 347-nucleotide unclassified non-coding RNA is filed under the name soil metagenome. Its description in RNAcentral is "partial contains 5.8S ribosomal RNA, internal transcribed spacer 2, and large subunit ribosomal RNA". The stretch from base 1 to 119 matches the Rfam family "5.8S ribosomal RNA", at positions 35 to 154 of the family's 154-position model. The record is from RNAcentral.